RNAcentral lists this ribosomal RNA (156 nucleotides) under Komagataea norvegica. RNAcentral's name for it is "[Candida] norvegica 5.8S ribosomal RNA". It matches the Rfam family "5.8S ribosomal RNA". Rfam says of the family: 5.8S ribosomal RNA (5.8S rRNA) is a component of the large subunit of the eukaryotic ribosome. It is transcribed by RNA polymerase I as part of the 45S precursor that also contains 18S and 28S rRNA. Functionally, it is thought that 5.8S rRNA may be involved in ribosome translocation. The record is from RNAcentral. Lineage: Eukaryota; Fungi; Ascomycota; Saccharomycetes; Phaffomycetales; Wickerhamomycetaceae.
AACUUUCAACAACGGAUCUCUUGGUUCUCGCAACGAUGAAGAACGCAGCGAAUUGCGAUACGUAUUGUGAAUUGCAGAUUUUCGUGAAUCAUCGAAUCUUUGAACGCACAUUGCACCCUGUGGUAUUCCACAGGGUAUGCCUGUUUGAGCGUCAUU